This 389-nucleotide ribosomal RNA is filed under the name uncultured bacterium. RNAcentral's name for it is "bacterial SSU rRNA". It matches the Rfam family "Bacterial small subunit ribosomal RNA", at positions 32 to 402 of the family's 1533-position model. The record is from RNAcentral.
AAUCAACGCUGGCGGCGUGCCUCAGACAUGCAAGUCGAACGCGAAAGUCCCCUUCGGGGGACAAGUAGAGUGGCGCACGGGUGAGUAACACGUAGGUAAUCUACCUUUGGAUGGGGAAUAACAACCGGAAACGGUUGCUAAUACCGCAUAAUGCAGCGGCACCUAAUGGUGACAGUUGUUAAAGCGGGGAUCGAAAGACCUCGCGUCUGAAGAGGAGCCUGCGGCGGAUUAGCAGUUGGUAGGGUAACGGCUUACCAAGGCGACGAUCCGUAGCCGGCCUGAGAGGGCGGUCGGCCACACUGACACUGACAUACGGGUCAGACUCCUACGGGAGGCAGCAGUCGGGAAUUUUGGGCAAUGGGCGAAAGCCUGACCCAGCAACGCCGCGU